AGCACGUGACCCCGCGGCCGCCAUUAGCGGAGCGCGGCCGGGCCGCGGGACUAACAGCGGAGUGAGCGGCCUCCUGCUGGGGCAGCGCUCGGGCACGGCUGCCUCGGGCUGCCCGUGCCCCCCGCGUGCAGCGGCCUUGGCGCCGGGCGUGGAGCGCCUGGCGGCCCCACCGUCGCUGAGCCCGGCCGUGCCUGCGCUGAGCCCUCGCGGCCGCACGGGCGCCGGCUUGUUCGUCAGUAGUUUUUGUUUGUCGAGAGCAGGCAAACCUGUGAAGCUUCUUUAGAAAUCGGGACUGUACUGACCCCUGUACAAAACCGACACAGACGAGCAAGACAGUACAACAAAGAAUGACUUGAAUCAACCAGCAGGAAGCCGGGACCUUUGCAGAGUCUUCUGCAGACAGAUAUGAGCUGGCGUUGCCCAUGCUCCAGCCUCCUGGAAACUGCGUAACAAUACUAGUGCAGAAAUGGCCAAAAAGUAUUUGCUUCGAUUCAAAAGUCUCUCUGUAAAAUUAGGAUUAUUUCCUAGAAUCUGGAAGUAAGAAAAGAGAAAAUGGAAAUAUUUUUCUGGUAGUCCUGAUUUUUAUGUAUAUUUCAAACAUAUCUGAUGCUGGUAAUUCCUGUUAACAGUACAUUCGUUUUUGCACAAUGCAGAUGUUUAACUUUGGUGUACUUGCAAGGUCUUUGUUGUUCCUAUUUCUCCUUUUUCUUAAAAUUUAUGUCCUAUUGUGAGUCAGGACUAUGUUCUGGAAUUCAGGGAUAUAAACAGUUGUCUUUUAUGGAGGAUAAAUGCGGGAAAACCACAUUUCUUUAUGGAUAGACCACGGUAACAUUAAGUACCACCACCCAAAACACAGACUGCCCACAUGAGUGCUCAGCAGUCCCAGCUGCGUGGGUGAAGGGGUUUCAGGGCCAGCCACCGACAGGCUGGCGCUGUCUGAGAGCGUGGGGUGCCUCUGCCCAGGACUGACGGAGGAGCCACAGAAAGCUACAGCGGCAUAAGGACCAGCUUUGGGAUCACGGCCAGACCAAGUUGUCCAACCAACUGCUAACUGGAGGAGACUAGAUACUAUCAGUAAAUAAACCGCCUUUGUUUAAUUCCUCCUGUGACCAAGGAAAUGGACCUUUGUAUGUUCUCUGGAAAAGAAAAGGGCUACAUCAAAGUAGUACCUUGCUUCAUUCUCAGUUUCUCCUAGUGGAAAACAACUGACAAGAUUCCAAUACAGACCACUGACUUGGGUCAAAACCAAAAGCUAUAUUCUUGAUUUAUAAUUCCACAUGAAGCGGUGUUCUGGGGAUGUAAGGUGGACAGGGUGGAAAUGGGAAACAGACUGAGUGUGCAAGGGGUGCGAUUUGAGAGAUUUGGGGAAGCGGCUUUGUUAAAAACAUGCAGUGCAUACUUACUCUGCAAAGCCUUUAAAUACCUGUUUAAUCUUAACCAUAUGUGCACGUCUCACAGAAGAGUCCUUCUCCCUUUCUCUUUCGCUUCUUGUCCCCAGCCUACACUGUAUCCAAGCAGAAGCAGUUAGAGAUCAAGUGCCAUUCAGCCCUGGAGCAGGAGACUGGUGCAGGCUCAGUCAAUUCGGGACUGAGCACAUGCAGCCUGUCAGCACGGAGGAGUUCCCAGGGACUAAAUUGUGCUUCAUGCAGAUAGGAAGGCAAGAUAGCUAUAUGAAAGAUGAAAUUUUUCAGAAGAUUAAAACUUGGCCAAAUUUGGGUUAAUUCUUAGUAGGACAGAAAAAAGCUGUGUCUGUGUCUGACAACAAGACAUCACCCAUAUGCUCCACAGCCCUGUCUCAGGGCUGGCCGAAAAAGCUGCAAGAAUCUUGUCUGUGAAGGCAAAAGGUUGUUUUCUUCCAUAGCCAUGUUCUUGGCUACAAUUGAAAUAAAAUAGCUGAAACUUCAUAUUAUCAGCACAGAAGAAAUAUCUGGAAUGUAAAUUGGGCUGAAUGGCAUUCAACCUGAGUGGCCUCAACCUGGCAAAGUCAUAAUAGGUUGAAAAUAUUUAUAAUAGGAUGUGCCAUUGCCAGACAAUAUUAAUCAUAACUUUAUGAUAUGUUAAUCAUAAAUAUAUGAUAUCAUAAAUACAUGAUAUUACAGUGCUACUAUAUCACUGAAGAUUUCAUAAACAGAAAUAUCCCCAAAUGAUUAUAGGUACUGGCAGUAAAACUAUACGACAGAGUUGGACAUUUCAAGGAUGUUGAAUUUGUGGCAAAAAAUGUUAAAAGUGGCUGUGAAGUUAAAUGGGUAGUUGCUAUUUACAAAUAAGAUGAUUACAUGCUGCUACCAUGGAAACCUGAGAUGGAAAAUACAAAGCCAGUUUAGCUUCAUCUUGAAACUUCCCUGAUUGGGAGGAAAACAAUAUCUGACAUUCCUCCAGCAGGAGACUUAAUUGCCCCUCCUAAAGAACGUAUAGUAUGUUUCUCCACUUUUUUAGCUAUCAUGCAAAGUUUUAAAACUCCAGCCUAGGAUAAUAGAUACAUAUGUUGUUGAGAAUCACAGCACAGCUUGAUUUAUUGUUUUUCUUAUGCUAUUUACUGAAAUGGUAACUAUCAGGCCUCUUCUAAGUCUGCUUCAAGUGAUUUUGUGUCACAUCUCAGUAUACGGCCUGGUAAUUCUCCCCAAGUACACUUUUUCCUUAUCUGUGUUUCUGCUUUGACAAUAUAAUGAGUGAGCACGCUCUAAGGAUGUGACUCGUUUCCAUCAAAACAAGCUUCCUGAGAACCUCAAAACAGACAGGGAGAUGACCACUGGUCUUGCAAAUUUUUAGGACAAUUCUGAAUGUGAAUCAGUUGGCAACAUAAACGGAACAAGUUAUUCCUAAAUAAAAGAUGUACCCAGUGAGAUUGCAGCAAGCGCUAAGGCUGGAAAUCAGAAAACUACACAGAUGGUACCAUCUGUGUGUGUUCUGGGAAUCAUUCUGGUGCUGAAAAACCCCUUCUGAGACAGAUGCACAGAGCCACAGAAGUGUUUGCUAACAGACGCACAUGCUACACCUGCAACAUUGUGUUGGAUCUCCUGUGUUCGCUCGGUAUAUGUAUACAAACGGAGAUGGCAUUUUCAAUGUGCCAAGGCUGGACAAUCAGUGAGUAAAAGGUCUUGUUACCACAGGAAGUUCCAUUAAGGAUGUGAAUAAAAUCGCAAUUCUAGGCUGA
Columba livia (rock pigeon) is the source of this 3154-nucleotide long non-coding RNA. RefSeq lists it as uncharacterized. NCBI's taxonomy places the organism in Eukaryota, Metazoa, Chordata, Aves, Columbiformes, Columbidae. The record is from RefSeq and is a predicted model, not a curated record. The transcript is spliced from 2 exons.